This 424-nucleotide ribosomal RNA is filed under the name uncultured bacterium. Its description in RNAcentral is "bacterial SSU rRNA". It matches the Rfam family "Bacterial small subunit ribosomal RNA", at positions 356 to 773 of the family's 1533-position model. The record is from RNAcentral.
AGGGAAUCUUCCGCAAUGGACGAAAGUCUGACGGAGCAACGCCGCGUGAGUGAUGAAGGUUUUCGGAUCGUAAAGCUCUGUUGCCAGGGAAGAACGUCGGGUAGAGUAACUGCUACCCGAGUGACGGUACCUGAGAAGAAAGCCCCGGCUAACUACGUGCCAGCAGCCGCGGUAAUACGUAGGGGGCGAGCGUUGUCCGGAAUUAUUGGGCGUAAAGCGCGCGCAGGCGGCUGUUUAAGUCUGGUGUUUAAUCCUGGGGCUCAACCCCGGGUCGCACUGGAAACUGGGCAGCUUGAGUGCAGAAGAGGAGAGUGGAAUUCCACGUGUAGCGGUGAAAUGCGUAGAGAUGUGGAGGAACACCAGUGGCGAAGGCGACUCUCUGGGCUGUAACUGACGCUGAGGCGCGAAAGCGUGGGGAGCAAAC